RNAcentral lists this ribosomal RNA (491 nucleotides) under uncultured bacterium. Its description in RNAcentral is "partial 16S ribosomal RNA". It matches the Rfam family "Bacterial small subunit ribosomal RNA", at positions 29 to 507 of the family's 1533-position model. The record is from RNAcentral.
GUGAACGCUGGCGGUAGGCCUAACACAUGCAAGUCGAACGGCAGCACAGUAAGAGCUUGCUCUUACGGGUGGCGCGUGGCGGACGGGUGAGGAAUACAUCGGAAUCUACUUUUUCGUGGGGGAUAACGUAGGGAAACUUACGCUAAUACCGCAUACGACCUACGGGUGAAAGCAGGGGAUCUUCGGACCUUGCGCGAUUGAAUGAGCCGAUGUCGGAUUAGCUAGUUGGCGGGGUAAAGGCCCACCAAGGCGACGAUCCGUAGCUGGUCUGAGAGGAUGAUCAGCCACACCGGAACUGAGACACGGUCCAGACUCCUACGGGAGGCAGCAGUGGGGAAUAUUGGACAAUGGGCGCAAGCCUGAUCCAGCCAUACCGCGUGGGUGAAGAAGGCCUUCGGGUUGUAAAGCCCUUUUGUUGGGAAAGAAAAGCAGCAGGUUAAUACCCCGCUGUUCUGACGGUACCCAAAGAAUAAGCACCGGCUAACUUCGUG